Molecule: small nuclear RNA, 104 nt
Organism: Talpa occidentalis (Iberian mole)
Lineage: Eukaryota; Metazoa; Chordata; Mammalia; Eulipotyphla; Talpidae
Source: RefSeq, a predicted model, not a curated record
UCAUUUUAGUAGUGUCUGUAAUAAAAUUUAGAAUGAUAAAGAAAAGAUUUACGUGGCCCUUGGAUAAAGAUGACGUGCAAAUUUAUGAACUGUUUCUUAUUUUU